UUGACCCGUAGUCUUGAGAGAAAGGAAACAAGCGACGGAUCGCAUCACGCUGCGGGUGGCCCCCUCCCAAAAUAAUUCAACGUCCAGUUGCCAAACGACGAGGACGACGCGUCGCUGGUGGCCACAGUUUGUUUAUACGCAACACUCACCCAGGCCAAACCUCUCUACCUCUACCUCUACCGUACGUACGUAUGCUCUCUGCCGCGUCCAGUCCACACUCCACAAUCGCUCUGCUUGCUGCAGUACCGUCUGCCGGGGCAGCAAUGGCAAUGGCAGCACUGUCCCUCCUCCUCCUCCUUGUCUUCCUCCUCGCGUGCUCCGUCGCCACNN
This 330-nucleotide long non-coding RNA is filed under the name Hordeum vulgare. RNAcentral's name for it is "long non-coding RNA (HVUL_LNC015430)". Lineage: Eukaryota; Viridiplantae; Streptophyta; Magnoliopsida; Poales; Poaceae. The record is from RNAcentral.